This 265-nucleotide ribosomal RNA is filed under the name uncultured bacterium. RNAcentral's name for it is "partial 16S ribosomal RNA". It matches the Rfam family "Bacterial small subunit ribosomal RNA", at positions 793 to 1055 of the family's 1533-position model. The record is from RNAcentral.
GUCCACGCUGUAAACGAUGGGCACUAGGUGUCGCGGGUAUUGACCCCUGCGGUGCCGCAGCUAACGCAUUAAGUGCCCCGCCUGGGGACUACGGCCGCAAGGUUAAAACUCAAAGGAAUUGACGGGGGCCCGCACAAGCGGUGGAGCAUGUGGUUCAAUUCGACGCAACGCGAAGAACCUUACCCGGGCUAGACAACAGAGGGCACCCUUAGAAAUAAGGUCUUCCCUUCGGGGACCUCUGGUUCAGGUGCUGCAUGGCUGUCGU